GAGGAAUUUUGGUCAAUGGGGGAAACCCUGAACCAGCGACGCCGCGUGUGGGAUGAAUGGGCUCUGCCCUGUAAACCACUGUCAGAUAGGAAGAAAGUUCGGUUGCCGGACUGGGACUGUACUAUCAGAGGAA
Molecule: ribosomal RNA, 133 nt
Filed under: uncultured bacterium
Lineage: Bacteria
Description: partial 16S ribosomal RNA
Rfam family: Bacterial small subunit ribosomal RNA
Source: RNAcentral